AGAGUUUGAUCCUGGCUCAGAACGAACGUUGGCGGCGUGGAUUAGGCAUGCAAGUCGAACGAAUCCCAGUCUUGUAGCAAUACCGGGCUGGGGGAAGUGGCGAAAGGGGCAGUAAGGCGUGGGUAACCUACCCCGGGGACUGGGAUAGCCUUCCUAACGGAUGGGUAAUACCAGGCGAUCUGACGAGGGGGCAUCUCCUUGUCAGGAAAUGAAUUUCGCCUCGGGAGGGGCUCACGUGAUAUUAGCUAGUUGGUGAGGUAACGGCUCACCAAGGCAAAGAUGUCUAGCGGGUGUGAGAGCACGACCCGCGCCACUGGCACUGAGACACUGGCCAGACACCUACGGGUGGCUGCAGUCGAGGAUCUUCGGCAAUGGGCGCAAGCCUGACCGAGCGACGCCGCGUGUGCGAUGAAGGCCUUCGGGUUGUAAAGCACUGUCGAGGGGGAGGAAAGCCGCAAGGUCUGACCUAUCCCUGAGAGAC
Molecule: ribosomal RNA, 481 nt
Filed under: uncultured Gemmata sp.
Lineage: Bacteria; Pseudomonadati; Planctomycetota; Planctomycetia; Gemmatales; Gemmataceae
Description: bacterial SSU rRNA
Rfam family: Bacterial small subunit ribosomal RNA
Source: RNAcentral